This 368-nucleotide long non-coding RNA is filed under the name Zonotrichia albicollis (white-throated sparrow). RNAcentral describes it as "lncRNA (ENSZALG00000012652.1)". The record is from RNAcentral. Lineage: Eukaryota; Metazoa; Chordata; Aves; Passeriformes; Passerellidae.
GAGACAACUGCCAGGGGUGUCCAUAGGGACCUUGGCAACACCUUCCCUGCCUUGUCCUGAUGUUGUGCUGUGCUACUCUGUGAUGCACCAGAAAGUUGAAAAUGUGAGAUUUACCUGUGCUGAUUCACAUCACCCGCAGUCAGUAUCUAUCUACAAAGACCUGCCAGUUGCCCCUUCAUCUGGAGGAAACCCAAAGCAGUCAAAAGGAAAUGCUUCUCAAAGGAUUAAGAACCCUGAAUUGGAUAGUUUAGCACAGGUAUGAGUGGAAGAAAGGAGUCACAGAUCUGGACUAAUACCGUACCUGAGUCCAGAAUAGAUUUUAAGGAUUCCAAGUGCCUGAAGAGGACACAUGCAGGUAAAUAACAAUA